Molecule: ribosomal RNA, 253 nt
Filed under: uncultured bacterium
Lineage: Bacteria
Description: partial 16S ribosomal RNA
Rfam family: Bacterial small subunit ribosomal RNA
Source: RNAcentral
UACGUAGGGCGCAAGCGUUGUCCGGAAUUAUUGGGCGUAAAGAGCUCGUAGGCGGUUUGUCGCGUCUGCUGUGAAAACCUAAGGCUCAACCUUGGGCUUGCAGUGGGUACGGGCAGACUAGAGUGCGGUAGGGGUGACUGGAAUUCCUGGUGUAGCGGUGAAAUGCGCAGAUAUCAGGAGGAACACCGGUGGCGAAGGCGGGUCUCUGGGCAACAACUGACGCUGAGGAGCGAAAGCGUGGGGAGCGAACAGG